GAGUCGUCAAUCUUGAUUUGCUGAAUGUUUUUACAUUUGAUCCUCAAAUUUUAUUUACAAGAUCACCUCCGGAUGUGUUAUUAGAUGAUCAAAGCCGAUAAGUCAACUGAAUCUGAUGCUAAAGCUGCUCUUCUGAAAUUAAAGCAGAAGGAGCAGGUGAGUUGAGCAGCUAAUUGACAAUUUACUGAUCACAGGAAUGGAAACAUUUUAGCCUUUAUAUCAUCCUGUAGCUCACCAUUUUGUGUGCAGGAAGUUGAGAGGAGGGCUCGGAAACAAUUUAAGGGAUUAUUUGACAAGAAACCUGGGGAAAUUGCUGAUAUUGU
This 323-nucleotide long non-coding RNA is filed under the name Carica papaya (papaya). RNAcentral describes it as "long non-coding RNA (CPAP_LNC008518)". The record is from RNAcentral. Lineage: Eukaryota; Viridiplantae; Streptophyta; Magnoliopsida; Brassicales; Caricaceae.